UGAGGAAUUUUGCGCAAUGGCCGCACGGCUGACGCAGCAACGCCGCGUGGGUGUUGAAGGCCUUCGGGUCGUAAAGCCCUGUCAGGUGGGAAGAAACGCCUGGAGAAGAAACGCUUUGAGUUUGACGGUACCACCAGAGGAAGCACCGGCUAACUCCGUGCCAGCAGCCGCGGUAAUACGGAGGGUGCGAGCGUUAUUCGGAAUUACUGGGCGUAAAGCGCGUGUAGGCGGGGAUGCAAGUCUGAUGUGAAAGCCCUGGGCUUAACCUGGGAAGUGCAUUGGAAACUGCAUUUCUUGAGUACUGGAGAGGAAGGGGGAAUUCCCGGUGUAGAGGUGAAAUUCGUAGAGAUCGGGAGGAAUACCAGUGGCGUAGGCGCCCUUCUGGACGGUUACUGACGCUGAGACGCGAAAGCGUGGGGAGCAAACA
RNAcentral lists this ribosomal RNA (427 nucleotides) under uncultured prokaryote. Its description in RNAcentral is "bacterial SSU rRNA". It matches the Rfam family "Bacterial small subunit ribosomal RNA", at positions 355 to 774 of the family's 1533-position model. The record is from RNAcentral.